AUUCCCCUAGUAACGGCGAGUGAAGCGGGAUGAGCUCACCAUGUGAAUCUGCGCAACCAGCAAUGGUGCGCCGAAUUGUGGUCUGAAGAAGUAUCGUCGACCGCGAACCCGGGCCAAGUCUCUUGGAAAAGGGCAGCUGAGAGGGUGAAACUCCCGUUCUUGCCUGGGUACGUUGUGUUAUAGCAUGAUCUUUCUAUGAGUCGAGUUGCUUGGGAUUGCAGCUCAAAUUUGGUGGUAAAUUCCAUCUAAAGCUAAAUAUUGGUGGGACACCGAUAGUGUACAAGUACCGUGAGGGAAAGAUGCAAAGAACUUAGAAAAGAGAGUUAAAGAGUACCUGAAAUUGUUAAAAGGGAAGCGAAGGAAUCCAGUGUAAAGCAAAGCCAUUCUUCUCAAGCCACUUGUGGUUUGGGCGCUGUGGUUAGCUGUACUAAUUCUGGGCUUGACCUGGGACAAACGUUUAGUAAGUAGACGACUCCUCGGAGUGAGUGCUUGCUCUUCAUGUUCUGGGUCGGGCUGAGGUCAGUCACUCUGUGCUCGUGAUGAAUUA
RNAcentral lists this ribosomal RNA (547 nucleotides) under Skeletonema menzelii. RNAcentral describes it as "LSU rRNA". It matches the Rfam family "Eukaryotic large subunit ribosomal RNA", at positions 74 to 627 of the family's 3401-position model. Lineage: Eukaryota; Bacillariophyta; Thalassiosirophyceae; Thalassiosirales; Thalassiosiraceae. The record is from RNAcentral.